This 76-nucleotide transfer RNA is filed under the name Ralstonia solanacearum. RNAcentral's name for it is "tRNA-Lys". The record is from RNAcentral. Lineage: Bacteria; Pseudomonadati; Pseudomonadota; Betaproteobacteria; Burkholderiales; Burkholderiaceae.
GGGAAUUUCGGGAAAUACCGCGACUGUCGGACUCUUAAUCCGUAGGUCGAGUGUUCGAGUCACUCACGCCCCACCA